AGUGAAUAGAUACCCCGGUAGUCCUAGCCGUAAACGAUACUCGCUAGGUGUCGGCCACGGUGCGACCGUUGUCGGUGCCGUAGGGAAAGCCGUGAAGCGAGCCACCUGGGAAGUACGGCCGCAAGGCUGAAACUUAAAGGAAUUGGCGGGGGAGCACCACAACGGGUGGAGCUUGCGGUUUAAUUGGAUUCAACGCCGGAAAUCUUACCGGGACCGACAGCGAUAUGAAGGCCAGGCUGAAGACUUUGCCGGAUUAGCUGAGAGGUGGUGCAUGGCCGUCGUCAGUUCGUACUGUGAAAGCAUCCUGUUAAGUCAGGCAACGAGCGAGACCCACGCCCACAGUUGCCAGCGUACUCUCCGGAGUGACGGGUACACUGUGGGGACCGCCGCUGCUAAAGCGGAGGAAGGAAUGGGCAACGGUAGGUCAGUAUGCCCCGAAUAUCCCGGGCUACACGCGAGCUACAAUGGUUGGUACAAUGGGUAUCUA
Molecule: ribosomal RNA, 487 nt
Filed under: uncultured bacterium
Lineage: Bacteria
Description: bacterial SSU rRNA
Rfam family: Archaeal small subunit ribosomal RNA
Source: RNAcentral